This 253-nucleotide ribosomal RNA is filed under the name uncultured bacterium. Its description in RNAcentral is "partial 16S ribosomal RNA". It matches the Rfam family "Bacterial small subunit ribosomal RNA", at positions 524 to 776 of the family's 1533-position model. The record is from RNAcentral.
UACAGAGGGGGCAAGCGUUAUUCGGAAUUAUUGGGCGUAAAGGGCGCGUAGGCGGCUUUGCAAGUGACGGGUGAAAUCCCUCGGCUUAACCGAGGAACUGCCUGUCAGACUGUAAGGCUUGAGACCGGGAGAGGUGAGUGGAAUUCCCAGUGUAGCGGUGAAAUGCGUAGAUAUUGGGAGGAACACCAGUGGCGAAGGCGGCUCACUGGACCGGUACUGACGCUGAGGCGCGAAAGCCAGGGGAGCAAACGGG